Molecule: ribosomal RNA, 274 nt
Filed under: uncultured bacterium
Lineage: Bacteria
Description: partial 16S ribosomal RNA
Rfam family: Bacterial small subunit ribosomal RNA
Source: RNAcentral
AUACGGAGGGGGCUAGCGUUGUUCGGAAUUACUGGGCGUAAAGCGUACGUAGGCGGACUGAUCAGUUGGGGGUGAAAUCCCAGGGCUUAACCCUGGAACUGCCUUCAAUACUGUCAGUCUUGAGAUUGGAAGAGGUGAGUGGAAUUCCUAGUGUAGAGGUGAAAUUCAUAGAUAUUAGGAGGAACACCAGUGGCGAAGGCGGCUCACUGGUCCAAUACUGACGCUGAGGCACGAAAGCGUGGGGAGCAAACGGGAUUAGAUACCCUAGUAGUCC